UUUUAAUUGAAAGCUUGUAUGAACGGUUAGACAAAGGAAACUCUGUCUUUUUUUUUUAUUUGAAUUUGUCUUUUAAGUGAAAAGACUUAAAUUAUUUUAAGGGACGACAAGACCCUAUAAAUCUUUAUACUAGUAUUUCCUUAUUAAUCUUUUUAUGUAUUUAACAAAAUAAGGACGUUAAGUAUUAAGUUGGGGAGACGAGAAUAUUUAAUAAACUGUUCUAAAUAGAAACAAAACUAUUUGAAACCAUUAUAGAUCCUAAUUAGAGAUUAAAGUUCAAGUUACUUUAGGGAUAACAGCGUUAUUUUUUUUGAGAGUUCUUAUCGAAAAAAAAGUUUGCGACCUCGAUGUUGAAUUAAAAUUACUCUAUGAUGCAGCAGUCAUAGAAGAAAGUCUGUUCGACUUAUAAAGUUUUACGUGAUCU
RNAcentral lists this ribosomal RNA (424 nucleotides) under Galathea ploto. RNAcentral describes it as "partial 16S ribosomal RNA". The stretch from base 292 to 424 matches the Rfam family "Bacterial large subunit ribosomal RNA", at positions 2473 to 2606 of the family's 2925-position model. The record is from RNAcentral. Lineage: Eukaryota; Metazoa; Arthropoda; Malacostraca; Decapoda; Galatheidae.